This 72-nucleotide transfer RNA is filed under the name Perkinsus olseni. RNAcentral describes it as "tRNA-Pro". It matches the Rfam family "tRNA". Rfam says of the family: Transfer RNA (tRNA) molecules are approximately 80 nucleotides in length. Their secondary structure includes four short double-helical elements and three loops (D, anti-codon, and T loops). Further hydrogen bonds mediate the characteristic L-shaped molecular structure. tRNAs have two regions of fundamental functional importance: the anti-codon, which is responsible for specific mRNA codon recognition, and the 3' end, to which the tRNAs corresponding amino acid is attached (by aminoacyl-tRNA synthetases). tRNAs cope with the degeneracy of the genetic code in two manners: having more than one tRNA (with a specific anti-codon) for a particular amino acid; and 'wobble' base-pairing, i.e. permitting non-standard base-pairing at the 3rd anti-codon position. Lineage: Eukaryota; Perkinsozoa; Perkinsida; Perkinsidae. The record is from RNAcentral.
GGCUGUGUGGUCUAGUGGUAUGAUUCUCGCUUAGGGUGCGAGAGGUCCCGAGUUCAAUUCCCGGCACAGCCC